This 304-nucleotide unclassified non-coding RNA is filed under the name Hevea brasiliensis (rubber tree). The record is from RNAcentral. Lineage: Eukaryota; Viridiplantae; Streptophyta; Magnoliopsida; Malpighiales; Euphorbiaceae.
UACAAGCAGAGCCAUCUAAUUACUAUGGAAGUGUACUUUUUUUUUAAAUUUCCAUCAGCUUUAUUCUCCCACCAAAUAAAACUUGAAUUGCUCUGGUCAACUAAUAUCUACCACAUUGACUAAAAGUAUCAGAGAGUCAUUUGUUGGUCAUUUAAUCCAUAAACACCUUUAGUCGCACACCAAGCAUUCAUAAGAUCCUGUCAUUUUCUUGUUCCUUCAUUGAGAAAGACACACCAUAAGGGCUCUUACAGGCCAACAACUUCCAACUUUAGUCUUUAUGUGAGGAGAGGCUGUUUGAAAUAAA